This 472-nucleotide ribosomal RNA is filed under the name uncultured bacterium. Its description in RNAcentral is "partial 16S ribosomal RNA". It matches the Rfam family "Bacterial small subunit ribosomal RNA", at positions 28 to 507 of the family's 1533-position model. The record is from RNAcentral.
GAUGAACGCUGGCGGCGUGCCUAAUACAUGCAAGUCGAACGCUCAAGUUUGGAGCUUGCACCGGGGGGGUUAGCGGCGGACGGGUGAGUAAUAAGUGAGUAACCUGCCCUUGAGUCUGGGAUAAGUCCGGGAAACCGGGGCUAAUACUGGAUAAGAUAUGUCACCGCAUGGUUGGGUGGGGAAAGGGGUUUCCUGGUUUUGGUUGGGCUCACGGCCUAUCAGCUUGUUGGGGGGGUAAUGGCACACCAAGGCGACGCCGGGUAGCCGGCCUGAGAGGGUGACCGGCCACACUGGGACUGAGACACGACCCAGACUCCUACGGGAGGCAGCAGUGGGGAAUAUUGCACAAUGGGCGGAAGCCUGAUGCAGCGACGCCGCGUGAGGGAUGACGGCCUUCGGGUUGUAAACCUCUUUCAGCACGGAAGAAGCGAAAGUGACGGUACGUGCAGAAGAAGCGCCGGCUAACUACGUG